This 136-nucleotide microRNA precursor is filed under the name Leersia perrieri. RNAcentral's name for it is "pre miRNA MIR164". It matches the Rfam family "MIR164 microRNA precursor family". The record is from RNAcentral. Lineage: Eukaryota; Viridiplantae; Streptophyta; Magnoliopsida; Poales; Poaceae.
AGGCUCCUGUUGGAGAAGCAGGGUACGUGCAGAGAUUAACACCGGUCGAGCUAGCUAGCUAGCUAGCUAUCGAAGCAAGCUUUUGAUCGACCAUGGUGAAUUGCAUGCACGUGCUCCCCUUCUCCACCAUGGCCUU